GUGUCAGCAGCCGCGGUAAGACGGAGGAGGCUAGCGUUGUUCGGAAUUACUGGGCGUAAAGCGCGCGCAGGCGGCUUUGCAAGUCAGGGGUGAAAGCCCGGGGCUCAACCUCGGAACUGCCUUUGAGACUGCAAGGCUCGAGACCGGGAGAGGAGAGUGGAAUUCCCAGUGUAGAGGUGAAAUUCGUAGAUAUUGGGAAGAACACCAGUGGCGAAGGCGGCUCUCUGGCCCGGACCUGACGCUGAGGCGCGAAAGCGUGGGGAGCAAACAGGAUUAGAAACCCCAGUAGUCC
RNAcentral lists this ribosomal RNA (292 nucleotides) under uncultured bacterium. Its description in RNAcentral is "partial 16S ribosomal RNA". It matches the Rfam family "Bacterial small subunit ribosomal RNA", at positions 505 to 796 of the family's 1533-position model. The record is from RNAcentral.